CUCGUGCUAAUCUAUAGCUCACUUAG
RNAcentral lists this transfer RNA (26 nucleotides) under Aporrectodea rosea. Its description in RNAcentral is "partial tRNA-Asn". Lineage: Eukaryota; Metazoa; Annelida; Clitellata; Crassiclitellata; Lumbricidae. The record is from RNAcentral.